UUAAUUAAGCAUUCUCUGUUUACUUACUUUUAUUUCUAUAAUUAAUCAAUUAAUUUUUUAUUAAUCUAUAGAGAGCAAGACAUACGCACCUCCAUGGCCAGUAGACCAGCAGUUACCAGUUAAAAACUUGAAUUCACAGCCUGCAAAACAAACAGAUAACAUACCCCGUUACCACAUCAAAUUCACUCUUUUUUGUUUCAAUUAACAAAACAAAUUAAAGUGUGUGUGUGUGUGUGUUUAUAACUCAAUAAUAAUAAUAAUAAUACUAAUAAUAAUAAUAAAACAAUUAAAGAUAUGAUAAAAUGAAACAAAAUAAAAACAAAAUGCUUACUUGACAGUAAUUAGUUGCUGAUACAAUUGAAUAAGAGCUGCAGAUCCUGCUUUAUUAGUUGUCGUUCUCCUUCCAAGUUCCAACCUCUUAUCUCUUCAAUCAGAGAACUGGUUCUAUCUCGUGAACUUUCAAUGUGUACGACGAUACAGAUGUACAAAUCUAUUUAUAUAAAAGUCUUCGAAUCUCCGAAUAUAA
This 526-nucleotide long non-coding RNA is filed under the name Citrus x clementina. RNAcentral describes it as "Citrus clementina (C. clementina) long non-coding RNA (CCLE_LNC005875)". The record is from RNAcentral. Lineage: Eukaryota; Viridiplantae; Streptophyta; Magnoliopsida; Sapindales; Rutaceae.